GACGAACCGUGCGAACGUUAUUCGGAAUCACUGGGCUUAAAGCGCGCGUAGGCGGGCCGGCACGUCGGAUGCUGAAAGCCCCCGGCUCAACCGGGGAAGUGGCACCGAUACGACCGGCCUGGAGUGGGGUAGGGGGAGCCGGAACUUCCGGUGGAGCGGUGAAAUGCGUUGAGAUCGGAAGGAACGCCCGUGGCGAAAGCGGGCUCCUGGACCCCGACUGACGCUGAGGCGCGAAAGCCAGGGGAGCAAACGGG
RNAcentral lists this ribosomal RNA (254 nucleotides) under uncultured bacterium. Its description in RNAcentral is "partial 16S ribosomal RNA". It matches the Rfam family "Bacterial small subunit ribosomal RNA", at positions 524 to 776 of the family's 1533-position model. The record is from RNAcentral.